RNAcentral lists this transfer RNA (89 nucleotides) under Ignavibacteriales bacterium CG_4_9_14_3_um_filter_30_11. RNAcentral's name for it is "tRNA-Leu". It matches the Rfam family "tRNA". From Rfam's summary of the family: Transfer RNA (tRNA) molecules are approximately 80 nucleotides in length. Their secondary structure includes four short double-helical elements and three loops (D, anti-codon, and T loops). The record is from RNAcentral. Lineage: Bacteria; Pseudomonadati; Ignavibacteriota; Ignavibacteria; Ignavibacteriales.
GCCGAAGUGGCGAAAUUGGUAGACGCGCUGGACUCAAAAUCCAGUCUGGCUUAAACCAGGUGCCGGUUCGAGUCCGGCCUUCGGUACUA